GACUGCAUAGUUCAAAGGUAGAACAGUCGCCUGCAAAGCGAUAAAUGUGUGUUCGAUUCACACUGCGGUCA
This 71-nucleotide transfer RNA is filed under the name Yasminevirus sp. GU-2018. It matches the Rfam family "tRNA". Rfam says of the family: Transfer RNA (tRNA) molecules are approximately 80 nucleotides in length. Lineage: Varidnaviria; Bamfordvirae; Nucleocytoviricota; Megaviricetes; Imitervirales; Mimiviridae. The record is from Rfam by way of RNAcentral.